GCUUUACGCACAAUAACUUCUAUUUUCCUCACCCUUCUAGGUGUCUGUUAGCCUAAUCUUUCCUGGUUGUGUGACAAGAGCCUGGUUUUUGCUGAACUAAGGAGAAAAUUCUGCAACAAUAAUAUAAAAACUUCCACUUCAGAAGGAGAUGAAGACUUUGGAAAAGUUUCAUGGGGAAGGAUUUGAGGAUCACACCAUCCUCCCUUGUACAUGAAGAAACCUAGAAGCAGAGAAGCCAUCCACUCUCCCCAUGUCAGUCAGCCAGUGAUCCAUGGCAAAGAGCCAAAUUCAGUCCACUACAAGAAGCCUGUGUUGUCAGCUGUUAUGAAGCUUGUAGAUGGGUGGAGAUGCAAGAGAGACUACAAAUGAAUAACGACAACAAAAAUCAGCCAGUGACUGGUACGUGCAGAUAAUUGAAGUUAUAGAAAGUCAUUAGGUAACUCUUUAAGAUUAUUUUUUUCUGGAAGGUCUCUAGGAAUUAGUGGUAUUUCAACAAUAAUCCGAAUGACAAGAAAAAAUUAGGAGUUCAAAUACCCUGAGGAAGAGUUUCCUAGGCAAAGGGAAAAGUUAAUGUAGAGACAAAAGUUACAACAGGUAUGUCGUAUUAAAUAAAUGAAAAACAAAACCAUAUAGCUAGAAAAUAGUAGAUACACUUGGAGGUGUAGAUAUGGACCAAAUCAUAUAGUACCUUGUAAACCAGAAUAAGGAAUUAAUCAAUUAGUAACACUUACGUUCUGGUAGUCUCACAUAGCUUCCAAAUUUCUUAACAUAGUAUACGUUAUUGUGGUGCUCCUUAGACAUUUGCUGCAGU
RNAcentral lists this long non-coding RNA (811 nucleotides) under Macaca nemestrina (pig-tailed macaque). RNAcentral's name for it is "lncRNA (ENSMNEG00000045670.1)". Lineage: Eukaryota; Metazoa; Chordata; Mammalia; Primates; Cercopithecidae. The record is from RNAcentral.